AUACGAAGGGGGCUAGCGUUGUUCGGAAUUACUGGGCGUAAAGCGCACGUAGGCGGAUAUUUAAGUCAGGGGUGAAAUCCCAGAGCUCAACUCUGGAACUGCCUUUGAUACUGGGUAUCUUGAGUAUGGAAGAGGUGAGUGGAAUUCCGAGUGUAGAGGUGAAAUUCGUAGAUAUUCGGAGGAACACCAGUGGCGAAGGCGGCUCACUGGUCCAUUACUGACGCUGAGGUGCGAAAGCGUGGGGAGCAAACAGGAUUAGAAACCCUAGUAGUCC
Molecule: ribosomal RNA, 274 nt
Filed under: uncultured bacterium
Lineage: Bacteria
Description: partial 16S ribosomal RNA
Rfam family: Bacterial small subunit ribosomal RNA
Source: RNAcentral